This 494-nucleotide ribosomal RNA is filed under the name uncultured bacterium. RNAcentral's name for it is "partial 16S ribosomal RNA". It matches the Rfam family "Bacterial small subunit ribosomal RNA", at positions 28 to 507 of the family's 1533-position model. The record is from RNAcentral.
GACGAACGCUGGCGGCGUGCUUAACACAUGCAAGUCGAACGGAAAGGCCUGCUUUCCCUUGUGGAUUGCGGGUACUCGAGUGGCGAACGGGUGAGUAACACGUGAGUGAUCUGCCCCCAACUUGGGUAUAAGCCUGGGAAACUGGGUCUAAUUCCCGAUAGGACUGCAGGGUGGUGCCUGUGGUGGAAAACGAUUUUCUAGUGGUUGGGGAUGAGCUCGCGGCCUAUCAGCUUGUUGGUGGGGUAAUGGCCUACCAAGGCGGCGACGGGUAGCCGGCCUGAGAGGGUGGACGGGCACAUUGGGACUGAGAUACGGCCCAGACUACUACGGGAGGCAGCAGUGGGGAAUAUGGCACGAUGGGCGGAAGCCUGAUGCAGCGACGCCGCGUGGGGGAUGACGGCCUUCGGGUUGUAAACUCCUUUCGGCCGCGAGGAAGCCACCUGGUUGGAAGGGUGGUGACGGUAGUGGUAGAAGAAGCACCGGCUAACUACGUG